UGGAGAUGGGUUUAUGCUUAUGCCCUUGUGAAUUAACAACAAAUUUGAUGCCAGUUUGUUUAUGGUGAUGUGAACAUAAUUUUUUUUGUUCUCUCUGGUUUGGUUUAGGCGGUUGCGGUCAAAAUGGAAGUAAAGGCCAUGCCCACAUUUCUGCUGAUGAAGGAAGGAGCUCAGGUGGACAGGCUGGUGGGUGCCAAUCCAGAUGAGAUAAGGAAAAGGAUAGAUGCUUUGGUGCAGUCCUUUCGCGUGUAUGUAGCCUAGUGGGUUUAUGCAUACG
This 277-nucleotide long non-coding RNA is filed under the name Vitis vinifera (wine grape). RNAcentral's name for it is "long non-coding RNA (VVIN_LNC007808)". Lineage: Eukaryota; Viridiplantae; Streptophyta; Magnoliopsida; Vitales; Vitaceae. The record is from RNAcentral.